GGCGGGCACCUAUCUAAGGCUGGGUGGUUGGUAGAGAACCAGAGAAGGCUCCUGAAAGAGCUGAGCUUUGAAAGACCAAGGAGUUGUCAAGAUAAAGUAGAGAAGGUCUCUACACAAUUGCACAUCAGUUCAAGCAACUGCAUUAGCACAGGAGUGCCGAGUCGUUCCAAAGAGAGAAGAGUGAGCCAAUAGCUACAGCUGGCAGCCAGGGAAGGGAAAAUGUGCUCUGAGCACUCAGUGAGUCACCCAAACAGACAGGAGGAAGCAUGUGCCAAUUGAGCCUGGAGGCUGCGCCAGAGCUCACACACUCAGCAAGGUCAGGAUUUGAAUAGAAGGAAGCUCCUGGAAAUAAGCUCUAAUGAAACAAGGAAAGAAACCAAGAAAGAGGAACACAAGAGUCCAGGAAAGAAGGGGCUCAACACAGGAAAGAAUUUUCAAGACAGGGAAGACUUCCAGGGCAGUGGUGGAGAGAAGAGAGAAUUGGGGACCAUAUAAUCCCCUGGAGCCUGGGAUGGACAUUUGGGUAGAUACACGAGUUACAGAUGGCCUUCACGAUGUCUCCUGAGCACAGAAGUCUAGUGUCCAUGAUGUGUGGGGGUUCUAAAAGACUCAAAGUGAGUUCAAGAUUUUCCUCUCACCAUUAAAAGGAAAUGUUGCUGACUCUGUCUGUGAACGGUAUGCUGAGUUGUUCUAGACCAUAGGCCAUAUUUGGUGCUUUUUGUUCUUACAAAUAUGGGCUACAGUACACUAAACAUCCAUACUAUUUCCUCAAGAUCAAAUUGCGUCCCAUGAUUGGCAUCUGCCUGACGUUGCCUAGAGAUGAGAAUUCAGUCUGUGCCUUUGAAACGCGUUUCUCUCACUAUGAAGCCAACUGGCCCACGUGGGAUUUGGCUCUACAAGUCUCCCUCAUUAACAGCUAAUGAGCAGAGCUCAAUGCUAAACAACAGGGCGAUUCCUGCUUUGAUUAUUCUAGGUUCAAGGUGGUGGCACUGGCCUGGAGACUGAAAACGGCUUGCAGAAAAUUGAAACACACUCUGUAAUAAU
RNAcentral lists this long non-coding RNA (1044 nucleotides) under Equus asinus (donkey). Its description in RNAcentral is "lncRNA (ENSEASG00005034795.1)". Lineage: Eukaryota; Metazoa; Chordata; Mammalia; Perissodactyla; Equidae. The record is from RNAcentral.